UACAGGGGGGGCAAGCGUUGUUCGGAAUUACUGGGCGUAAAGGGCUCGUAGGCGGCCAACUAAGUCCGACGUGAAAUCCCAAAGCUUAACUUUGGAACUGCGUCGGAUACUGGAUGGCUUGAAUUCGGGAGAGGGAUGCAGAAUUCCAAGUGUAGCGGUGAAAUGCGUAGAUAUCUGGAGGAAUACCGGUGGCGAAGGCGGCAUCCUGGACCGACAUUGACGCUGAGGAGCGAAAGCGUGGGGAGCGAACAGG
RNAcentral lists this ribosomal RNA (253 nucleotides) under uncultured bacterium. RNAcentral's name for it is "partial 16S ribosomal RNA". It matches the Rfam family "Bacterial small subunit ribosomal RNA", at positions 524 to 776 of the family's 1533-position model. The record is from RNAcentral.